RNAcentral lists this unclassified non-coding RNA (241 nucleotides) under Hevea brasiliensis (rubber tree). The record is from RNAcentral. Lineage: Eukaryota; Viridiplantae; Streptophyta; Magnoliopsida; Malpighiales; Euphorbiaceae.
GAGACAAUAGAUCGGUCCUUUUUGGAUCGGAACAGGCGUUUGGGACUGAUUGCUUUGAUGAACUGUUUCAUGGCGGAACAACAGAGGGCGCCAGAAACCGAAAUGGGUGGAGAAAAAGAGAGGAGGAGGAAGAGGAGAAGGAAGAGGAGGAGAAAGCAAUGGGGGGUUGAGGAGAAGGAGAGACGAAGGUGGUUCACUUAAAUGGAGCGUUGGAGCAGUGAGUGCCAUGGCAACUUCCAGG